GGAACGGGCUGGAGUACAGUGCACAGUGUCCCCAAAUCAAUACUUCAAUCAGUGUGCGGAGAAGACUAAAGGGUGAGGAGAGGAAGCAGAGAAGACGGGGGAGGAGAAGAAGGUGGAAGCAGCGGUGGAGUGGAUAUGAAGAGGAAAAGUUGAGUUGAAGAGAGCAAAAGGCCAGCAGGGACAAUGUGGAGGGAAGAGGCAACAACAUGACCAGCAGACGUAUUACACAAUGCAUCACUGUUACCAUGGGUUAGCCCGGGGCAAUUAUCUCAAAAGAGACAAUUAAGUUGCUCCGCAGGUUAAAGCAACGUAUAUCUGGGAGUCAUGAUAACGUG
Pseudoliparis swirei is the source of this 335-nucleotide long non-coding RNA. RefSeq lists it as uncharacterized. NCBI's taxonomy places the organism in Eukaryota, Metazoa, Chordata, Actinopteri, Perciformes, Liparidae. The transcript is spliced from 3 exons. The record is from RefSeq and is a predicted model, not a curated record.